AGCUGGGAGUCAUUGUGUGUCCCUACACAGGGGCCCUUGGAAGUUCUUAGUUUCGCUGCUCCUCCCCUUUAGACAUGGUCUCUCAUGCAGUCCAAACUGGUCUUAAAUGCUCAUUGGAGAAAAAGGAUGACCUUGGUGUCCUGUUCCUAGCCUUCCACUUCCUGAGUCUGGGCCAGGCUUGUGCCACCCCGACUGGUUUAUACAGUGUUCAAACCCAGCCUAGUGUGUGCAAGGCAAACACUCUACUCUUGGAGCUACAUCCCCAGCCCUCCAGCCUCUCCUUUGUGAUCCCAUUGGAAAUGACUAGAUAGUCUAAGUUCCCUUCAGGCCUUCUGAACUCCUCUUGCUCUGAACUCAAGGAGUGCACAGUCCCUGGCCAUAAUGGUGGCAAUACUUAGUUUCCUAAAUUCUGCAAUGGCAGUGGUGGUAUAGCUAGUUCCCUCCUUUCUUUGGGCCUGGCUUUGUUUCUCUGCUAGGCUGGGUGACCCCGAGCCUCUUCUGCCCUGGCUCCAUGUUCUGACGGAUGCUGACACACCUCACAAACACACCCCCACAGCUGGGACAAACUCCUCUCAUCAGACUGUGACCCCAUGCUGCACAGCAGCAAGUCAUGUGGUCUCUGUAUUGUGGAUAGUUCGCUUUGAAGCAGAGGAGGGAACACUGUAUAAGAAAUCAGAAGUCCCAGGCCCCAACGCUGGGGCUGCCUCUUCAGGGAGAUGUGACUUCAGGACAUCUGGGCUUGUGUUUGCUCAGCUGGAAAAUGGGGAUAGUAACUCUAGCCUUGCCUGUCUUACAGGGCGCCUGUGGAAGUCAGCUGAGGUCACGGGCAGGGAAGUGCCCUGCAGACAGCAAAGUCUGGUCCAAUUAUGAGGGAUUACGAUUGCUAUUAUUAUCUACCCAUAGUAACUGCUCUGGCUCUGGUGGCAACAAACACACGCCCAGACCUAGAUUCUGGGACUGAUAGAGUGAGCGUAUUCGCAUACUGGCAGGGGCCAUUAUACCAAAAGAUGACAGCAAUCUGGUUAGACAAAGGCUAGAGCCUGGCUGGGCCUCCUUUCAAACCACCUACACCCACAGCACAUAUGCUGGCUCACCUGGCACCACAGGCUGGCUCCAACAGAGCCACCUGGUAAAGGCAGGUAGAGACACUGACAGUUGCCAUAAUGGUCCAGCAAGCCUGGGAUGGGGACAUUGUAUAGUUGUAUAUGGGGGACAUGGACUUGCUCUACAGUCCAAGAAUCUCCAGAGAUGACAUAGACACCUGGCACAAUAGAGCCAUCUGCUGAGCCUGAGGGGAGGGGUGAGGCUCCUGCGGGCCCUUCUCAUUCAGCAGCCCCACCUGCCUGGCUAGCCUUCUACUUGCAGGCUGCGGAUACCAUUUAUUGCCCAUCCUAGGUUUUCAGGCCUUUGUUUUUGCCUUACCUCUCCUGCUAGCUGCUUCCUUGUUCAGUCCCCUCUCUGGGAAAGCCCUGGCUGUGCUCUCUUGGAUUAUAGUUUGCAGACUAAUUGUCCUCAGCUGUGACUCUCAAAUCAACCAUUUCAGCAUCACCUGUGAACGAAUGAGAGCUGCAAGGUGCAAGCCCCUGCUGGACCUACAGAGUUGAGAUCUCUGGGGUUGGGACCCUGGGAGUCUGUCACUCAGCCCAGGAGGGUGGGGUCUCCAUCCCGCUCUUACAUGAUUCCCUAGGGUCUGCAGUGGCAUGAAGUAGGAGGAAUGCCAUGGAUGGGAGCCAAAGGCAUCAUCACGUCCCACCAGGGAGCCCAGGGCCAGGCAGAUGGGGUGUGGAGUUGGGUGACAGACAGAAGGGCUGUGCUUGUCUCUGAGAAUACACAGAGAGAUUUGUGGAGGUGAGCUCUGCACCCUGCCACCCAUGAGCUGGAAGGGGCUGCUGUUUGGGGAGGCUACCUCUGUGACCAGGGCGAUCUCUGUGACCUCCAUGCUGCCCUUUCCUCUGGCUUCAGAAACUUUGUGGCCGAGAUGCACUGAGCAUUGUCUGUUGGCUAAGACACUCUAUGAAUUAUUUUAAUUCUUAUAAUUGCCCCAAAAGGCACUGAUAUUUUCAUGAUUCUCUCUUAUUAAGGACUGAAUUGAAGCUUGGAGAUGCUAAGUCACUGGCUUGAAGUCUUCCAGUUUGCUGUUCAGGGUCCUUCAAGGCGAAGAGGGUGGAAUGAGCAGUGGCUUCCAUAUGUGCUGCUCUGCGGUGUUGCAUGGGUUUCUCCCGCUGCGAGUUCAAGGGUGUUUAUUUAGAAUGAAUGUUGGGAUCCGUAUAGCUCUUCACAUGUGGAUAUCGAAGGCACAUCCAGAGAGAGAGAGAGA
RNAcentral lists this long non-coding RNA (2317 nucleotides) under Mus musculus (house mouse). RNAcentral describes it as "long non-coding RNA chr12:3836478-3838795". Lineage: Eukaryota; Metazoa; Chordata; Mammalia; Rodentia; Muridae. The record is from RNAcentral.